GGCUUAGCAGGUUCCAGCGUAGUCCGAUGCUAUAGGAGGCUGCCGGACUCAAAAUCCGGUUCCGAAAGGAGUGCCGGUUCGAUUCCGGCCCGAGGCACCA
RNAcentral lists this transfer RNA (100 nucleotides) under Paraburkholderia silvatlantica. RNAcentral's name for it is "tRNA-Leu". The stretch from base 27 to 89 matches the Rfam family "tRNA", at positions 9 to 63 of the family's 71-position model. From Rfam's summary of the family: Transfer RNA (tRNA) molecules are approximately 80 nucleotides in length. Their secondary structure includes four short double-helical elements and three loops (D, anti-codon, and T loops). Further hydrogen bonds mediate the characteristic L-shaped molecular structure. tRNAs have two regions of fundamental functional importance: the anti-codon, which is responsible for specific mRNA codon recognition, and the 3' end, to which the tRNAs corresponding amino acid is attached (by aminoacyl-tRNA synthetases). tRNAs cope with the degeneracy of the genetic code in two manners: having more than one tRNA (with a specific anti-codon) for a particular amino acid; and 'wobble' base-pairing, i.e. permitting non-standard base-pairing at the 3rd anti-codon position. The record is from RNAcentral. Lineage: Bacteria; Pseudomonadati; Pseudomonadota; Betaproteobacteria; Burkholderiales; Burkholderiaceae.